CCUUCGGGUUGUAAAGCACUUUUGUUCGGAACGAAACGGCGAAUGCUAAUACCAAUCGCUAAUGACGGUACCGGAAGAAUAAGCACCCGGCUAACUACGUGC
Molecule: ribosomal RNA, 102 nt
Filed under: uncultured bacterium
Lineage: Bacteria
Description: partial 16S ribosomal RNA
Source: RNAcentral